RNAcentral lists this ribosomal RNA (442 nucleotides) under Streptococcus infantarius. RNAcentral's name for it is "bacterial SSU rRNA". It matches the Rfam family "Bacterial small subunit ribosomal RNA", at positions 39 to 466 of the family's 1533-position model. The record is from RNAcentral. Lineage: Bacteria; Bacillati; Bacillota; Bacilli; Lactobacillales; Streptococcaceae.
GCGGCGUGCCUAAUACAUGCAAGUAGAACGCUGAAGACUUCCAGUCUUGCUAAAGUUGGAAGAGUUGCGAACGGGUGAGUAACGCGUAGGUAACCUGCCUACUAGCGGGGGAUAACUAUUGGAAACGAUAGCUAAUACCGCAUAACAGCAUUUAACUCAUGUUAGAUGCUUGAAAGGAGCAAUUGCUUCACUAGUAGAUGGACCUGCGUUGUAUUAGCUAGUUGGUGAGGUAACGGCUCACCAAGGCGACGAUACAUAGCCGACCUGAGAGGGUGAUCGGCCACACUGGGACUGAGACACGGCCCAGACUCCUACGGGAGGCAGCAGUAGGGAAUCUUCGGCAAUGGUGGGCAACCCUGACCGAGCAACCGCCGCGUGAGUGAAGAAGGUUUUCGGAUCGUAAAGCUCCUGUUGUAAGAGAAGAACGUGUGUGAGAGUGGAA